UACGUAGGUGACCAGCGUUGUCCGGAUUUACUGGGCGUAAAGAGCGCGCAGGCGGUCGUUCAAGUCGAGUGUGAAAGCCCCCGGCUCAACUGGGGAGGGUCACUCGAUACUGAUCGACUUGAAGGCAGGAGAGGGAAGCGGAAUUCCCGGUGUAGUGGUGAAAUGCGUAGAUAUCGGGAGGAACACCAGUGGCGAGGCGACUACCUGGCCUGUUCUUGACGCUGAGGCGCGAAAGCUAGGGGAGCAAACGGG
RNAcentral lists this ribosomal RNA (252 nucleotides) under uncultured bacterium. RNAcentral describes it as "partial 16S ribosomal RNA". It matches the Rfam family "Bacterial small subunit ribosomal RNA", at positions 524 to 776 of the family's 1533-position model. The record is from RNAcentral.